RNAcentral lists this ribosomal RNA (497 nucleotides) under uncultured bacterium. RNAcentral's name for it is "partial 16S ribosomal RNA". It matches the Rfam family "Bacterial small subunit ribosomal RNA", at positions 28 to 507 of the family's 1533-position model. The record is from RNAcentral.
GAUGAACGCUGGCGGCGUGCCUAAUACAUGCAAGUCGAGCGAACAGACGAGGAGCUUGCUCCUCUGACGUUAGCGGCGGACGGGUGAGUAACACGUGGAUAACCUACCUAUAAGACUGGGAUAACUUCGGGAAACCGGAGCUAAUUCCGGAUAAUAUAUUGAACCGCAUGGUUCAAUAGUGAAAGACGGUUUUGCUGUCACUUAUAGAUGGAUCCGCGCCGCAUUAGCUAGUUGGUAAGGUAACGGCUUACCAAGGCAACGAUGCGUAGCCGACCUGAGAGGGUGAUCGGCCACACUGGAACUGAGACACGGUCCAGACUCCUACGGGAGGCUGCAGUAGGGAAUCUUCCGCAAUGGGCGAAAGCCUGACGGAGCAACGCCGCGUGAGUGAUGAAGGUCUUCGGAUCGUAAAACUCUGUUAUUAGGGAAGAACAAAUGUGUAAGUAACUAUGCACGUCUUGACGGUACCUAAUCAGAAAGCCACGGCUAACUACGUG